GAUGAAGAACGCAGCGAAAUGCGAUAAGUAAUGUGAAUUGCAGAAUUCAGUGAAUCAUCGAAUCUUUGAACGCACAUUGCGCCCGCCAGUAUUCUGGCGGGCAUGCCUGUCUGAGCGUCAUUUCAACCCUCAUGCCCCUAGGGCGUGGUGUUGGGGAUCGGCCAAAGCCCGCGAGGGACGGCCGGCCCCUAAAUCUAGUGGCGGACCCGUCGUGGCCUCCUCUGCGAAGUAGUGAUAUUCCGCAUCGGAGAGCGAUGAGCCCCUGCCGUUAAACCCCCAACUUUCCAAGGUUGACCUCAGAUCAGGUAGGAAUACACGCUGAACUUAAGCAUAUCAAUAAGCGGAGGA
RNAcentral lists this unclassified non-coding RNA (348 nucleotides) under soil metagenome. RNAcentral describes it as "partial contains 5.8S ribosomal RNA, internal transcribed spacer 2, and large subunit ribosomal RNA". The stretch from base 1 to 120 matches the Rfam family "5.8S ribosomal RNA", at positions 35 to 154 of the family's 154-position model. The record is from RNAcentral.